UAAUAUUCAAAUUCGUUUUUUUAUGGUUUGUUAUUUUUCAAAUAUAUUUCUUUACAAAAUCAAAACUAAAUCCACUUAUAAUCUAUCCAUAUUAGGGUUUUAUUUAGAUUUUGAAUUUCUCUAUACAAAUCGGCCAUCCCAACACAGAUUGGGAAAAAAAAAAAACGAACACACUUUUUUCCAAAUUUUGCAAACUAAAGUUUUCAUUCUGUCAGAUUUUUUUAAAAAAGCCACACGUUCAUUUAUGGCGUCUGCCGCUGAGAAAAAUAAAGUUCUGACUGGAAUCUUCGGUGAAGUCCCGCCG
RNAcentral lists this long non-coding RNA (304 nucleotides) under Salvia miltiorrhiza (redroot sage). Its description in RNAcentral is "long non-coding RNA (SMIL_LNC012316)". Lineage: Eukaryota; Viridiplantae; Streptophyta; Magnoliopsida; Lamiales; Lamiaceae. The record is from RNAcentral.